UACGUAGGGGGCAAGCGUUGUCCGGAAUCAUUGGGCGUAAAGCGCGUGUAGGCGGUUCGGUAAGUCGGCUGUGAAAGUCCAGGGCUCAACCCUGGAAAGCCGGUGGAUACUGUCGGGCUCGAGUCCGGAAGAGGCGAGUGGAAUUCCUGGUGUAGCGGUGGAAUGCGCAGAUAUCAGGAGGAACACCAAUGGCGAAGGCAGCUCGCUGGGACGGUACUGACGCUGAGACGCGAAAGCGUGGGGAGCGAACAGG
This 253-nucleotide ribosomal RNA is filed under the name uncultured bacterium. RNAcentral's name for it is "partial 16S ribosomal RNA". It matches the Rfam family "Bacterial small subunit ribosomal RNA", at positions 524 to 776 of the family's 1533-position model. The record is from RNAcentral.